CACGUAGGGAGCAAGCGUUGUCCGGCUUUAUUGGGCGUAAAGAGCUCGUAGGUGGUUCGGUAAGUCAGGUGUGAAACCUCCAGGCUCAACCUGGAGACGCCACUUGAUACUGCUGUGACUGGAGUCCGGUAGGGGAGCGUGGAAUUCCUGGUGUAGCGGUGAAAUGCGCAGAUAUCAGGAGGAACACCAGCGGCGAAGGCGGCGCUCUGGGCCGGUACUGACACUGAGGAGCGAAAGCGUGGGUAGCAAACAGG
RNAcentral lists this ribosomal RNA (254 nucleotides) under uncultured bacterium. RNAcentral describes it as "partial 16S ribosomal RNA". It matches the Rfam family "Bacterial small subunit ribosomal RNA", at positions 524 to 776 of the family's 1533-position model. The record is from RNAcentral.